AUGCCGUACGCAGCUGCACGGCCGUCGCCUCAGCAGCACAGCCGGAUCAGCUCCGGCUGUAAGGCGUUGGUGGCCCACGGCGCAGCGGUGCCGGGCGAGGUGGCGCGGUACCACGAGCACGCGGCCGGCGCGGGGCAGUGCUGCUCGGCCGUGGUGCAGGCGAUCGCGGCGCCCGUGGAGGCGGUGUGGUCGGUCGUCCGGCGCUUCGACCGGCCGCAGGCGUACAAGCGCUUCAUCAAGAGCUGCCGCAUGGUGGACGGCGACGGCGGCGCGGUGGGGUCGGUGCGGGAGGUGCGCGUGGUCUCCGGCCUGCCCGGCACCAGCAGCCGCGAGCGGCUCGAGAUCCUGGACGACGAGCGGCGCGUGCUCAGCUUCCGGAUCGUCGGCGGCGAGCACCGCCUCGCCAACUACCGGUCCGUGACCACCGUGAGCGAGGUGGCGUCGACGGUGGCCGGGGCGCCGCGGGUGACCCUGGUGGUCGAGUCGUACGUGGUGGACGUGCCGCCGGGGAACACCAGCGACGAGACGCGCCUGUUCGUGGACACCAUCGUGCGGUGCAACCUCCAGUCGCUGGCGCGCACGGCGGAGCAACUCGCGCUGGCCGUGCCGCACGUCAAUUGA
This 621-nucleotide ribosomal RNA is filed under the name Triticum aestivum (bread wheat). Its description in RNAcentral is "partial small subunit ribosomal RNA". The record is from RNAcentral. Lineage: Eukaryota; Viridiplantae; Streptophyta; Magnoliopsida; Poales; Poaceae.